Molecule: long non-coding RNA, 1351 nt
Organism: Drosophila obscura
Lineage: Eukaryota; Metazoa; Arthropoda; Insecta; Diptera; Drosophilidae
Exons: 5
Source: RefSeq, a predicted model, not a curated record
CUGGUGCUGGUGGCAAUCGAACAUACGAGUCCUAUGCCAACGCCAAUCAAAUUACAGUGGACCCCAAAGCAGAUUCGGCGCUAAAAGAUUGCCAGUGAAAAUGCGAAACAGGCUGCAGACUGCCGCAACGUUGCCGAUUAAAUUGGGAACUAAAACAGAUACCUGUUUAAUACCCUAUUCCUAAGGGCAUACCAUUGCCGCACCCAUCAACAUUUGCACUCAAAAUCCAACUGUAAAAAUGUUCUUUGCUAUUCCAGAGUGGAACCGAAUGUCAAACGUCCCGUAAAGCCAAGCGAAGCAAUCAAGCGAGAGCACACAAGCCCAAAGGAGAGAUGAAUGAGUGUUCAGCCAGGGAUAGGACUAUCUGUCAGUGGUAGCGACUAUCUAUCGACCGAGUCACACCUUUUGGCCAGUCCGUAGCUUGUCAUAAAAUUGUGAAACGCUACGGUCCCCUUGCACCGCCUGAGGCAUGCUGCUUAAAAGCUCAGCAAAAGGGUCUCGUCUAAUGGAAGCUGCUCCCAACGGAGCACCUGUCCGGGCUCUGUUUGAGGGAUUACUUUGGACUUGUGACCGGAGCUUUUGAUAGUUUGUUUUCCUGCGUAAUUUGCAAUGGAGAAAGCAUCCGAUUCGAAUGAAUGCUAAUUGCCUGAAUCUAAAGUGGAAACUCAAGUGUCAUAAUUGCUAUGAAUUUAAUUUACUGGAAACGAAACCGAAACUGAAAGUUUCUCAAACUGAAAACUUCAACCAAAAACCCUUGGUCAACUUGCAGGCGAAGCGUUUCUUGAUAUGUUUUGCAAAUGUAAUUUGCUACGACUUAAGAUGCAGUUUACCCGCCCAGACCCAGGCCCAGGCCUAUGCGGAAAAGUGCGGGUGAAAGGAACUUGUAACUCGCAACAAAAACUACAACAAGGACAACCACUUCAAGUGUCUGGCUGUGGCUGUGGCUCUGGCGAAAAUUGCCAUAAAAAACUUUGGCCGUCUCAAUGGCAAAAGUCGUCAACAUUCACCGUCAUCAUCGUCGUCGUCGUUGGCGUUGGUGUUGGCCUCGUUCUCCUCCUUAAUGGCACAGACGCCUCACAGACUGUGGUGCUCUGCUGGUCUGGUCUGGUCUGGUCUUGGAUUUAAGGUGUUGACGUUUCCCCCGUUAGCCUGCGCCACAAUUUGUCAUAUUUUAACAGCGCCUUUCUCUGCGCUUCUCAUAAGUUGUACGUAAGCAGGGGUGACACUUGGAAAUAUUUAACAGUAGAGAGUGAAGCGGUCACUAAAUGUCAAUUAAAUCGUGUGUCUUCGUGUCGUGAGCGCGCGCCAAAUGCAACAUUCUUUCUCUGUGAUCACCUACCCAUAUGCUCUC